AUAGAAAAUAGGUGCCCGUACCGCAAACCGACACAGGUAGUCAAGAUGAGAAUUCUAAGGUGAGCGAGCGAACUCUCGUUAAGGAACUCGGCAAAAUGACCCCGUAACUUCGGGAGAAGGGGUGCUCUUUAGGGUUAACGCCCAGAAGAGCCGCAGUGAAUAGGCCCAAGCGACUGUUUAUCAAAAACACAGGUCUCUGCUAAACCGUAAGGUGAUGUAUAGGGGCUGACGCCUGCCCGGUGCUGGAAGGUUAAGAGGAGUGGUUAGCUUCUGCGAAGCUACGAAUCGAAGCCCCAGUAAACGGCGGCCGUAACUAUAACGGUCCUAAGGUAGCGAAAUUCCUUGUCGGGUAAGUUCCGACCCGCACGAAAGGCGUAACGAUUUGGGCACUGUCUCAACGAGAGACUCGGUGAAAUCAUAGUACCUGUGAAGAUGCAGGUUACCCGCGACAGGACGGAAAGACCCCGUGGAGCUUUACUGUAGCCUGAUAUUGAAAUUCGGCACAGCUUGUACAGGAUAGGUAGGAGCCUUUGAAACGUGAGCGCUAGCUUACGUGGAGGCGCUGGUGGGAUACUACCCUAGCUGUGUUGGCUUUCUAACCCGCACCACUUAUCGUGGUGGGAGACAGUGUCAGGCGGGCAGUUUGACUGGGGCGGUCGCCUCCUAAAAGGUAACGGAGGCGCUCAAAGGUUCCCUCAGAAUGGUUGGAAAUCAUUCAUAGAGUGUAAAGGCAUAAGGGAGCUUGACUGCGAGACCUACAAGUCGAGCAGGGUCGAAAGACGGACUUAGUGAUCCGGUGGUUCCGCAUGGAAGGGCCAUCGCUCAACGGAUAAAAGCUACCCCGGGGAUAACAGGCUUAUCUCCCCCAAGAGUUCACAUCGACGGGGAGGUUUGGCACCUCGAUGUCGGCUCAUCGCAUCCUGGGGCUGUAGUCGGUCCCAAGGGUUGGGCUGUUCGCCCAUUAAAGCGGUACGCGAGCUGGGUUCAGAACGUCGUGAGACAGUUCGGUCCCUAUCCGUCGUGGGCGUAGGAAAUUUGAGAGGAGCUGUCCUUAGUACGAGAGGACCGGGAUGGACAUACCUCUGGUGUACCAGUUGUCGUGCCAACGGCAUAGCUGGGUAGCUAUGUGUGGACGGGAUAAGUGCUGAAAGCAUCUAAGCAUGAAGCCCCCCUCAAGAUGAGAUUUCCCAACUUCGGUUAUAAGAUCCCUCAAAGAUGAUGAGGUUAAUAGGUUCGAGGUGGAAGCAUGGUGACAUGUGGAGCUGACGAAUACUAAUCGAUCGAAGACUUAAUCAA
Molecule: ribosomal RNA, 1296 nt
Filed under: Staphylococcus aureus
Lineage: Bacteria; Bacillati; Bacillota; Bacilli; Caryophanales; Staphylococcaceae
Description: partial 23S ribosomal RNA
Rfam family: Bacterial large subunit ribosomal RNA
Source: RNAcentral